This 273-nucleotide ribosomal RNA is filed under the name Escherichia coli. Its description in RNAcentral is "partial 23S ribosomal RNA". It matches the Rfam family "Bacterial large subunit ribosomal RNA", at positions 1 to 274 of the family's 2925-position model. The record is from RNAcentral. Lineage: Bacteria; Pseudomonadati; Pseudomonadota; Gammaproteobacteria; Enterobacterales; Enterobacteriaceae.
GGUUAAGCGACUAAGCGUACACGGUGGAUGCCCUGGCAGUCAGAGGCGAUGAAGGACGUGCUAAUCUGCGAUAAGCGUCGGUAAGGUGAUAUGAACCGUUAUAACCGGCGAUUUCCGAAUGGGGAAACCCAGUGUGUUUCGACACACUAUCAUUAACUGAAUCCAUAGGUUAAUGAGGCGAACCGGGGGAACUGAAACAUCUAAGUACCCCGAGGAAAAGAAAUCAACCGAGAUUCCCCCAGUAGCGGCGAGCGAACGGGGAGCAGCCCAGAG